RNAcentral lists this ribosomal RNA (253 nucleotides) under uncultured bacterium. RNAcentral describes it as "partial 16S ribosomal RNA". It matches the Rfam family "Bacterial small subunit ribosomal RNA", at positions 524 to 776 of the family's 1533-position model. The record is from RNAcentral.
UACGGAGGGGGCUAGCGUUGUUCGGAAUUACUGGGCGUAAAGCGCGCGUAGGCGGAUCUGCAAGUCGGGGGUGAAAUCCCGAGGCUCAACCUCGGAAUUGCCUUUAAGACUGCAUCGCUUGAAUCCGGGAGAGGUGAGUGGAAUUCCGAGUGUAGAGGUGAAAUUCGUAGAUAUUCGGAAGAACACCAGUGGCGAAGGCGGCUCACUGGACCGGCAUUGACGCUGAGGUGCGAAAGCGUGGGGAGCAAACAGG